GACGAACGCUGGCGGCGUGCUUAACACAUGCAAGUCGAACGGAAAGGCCCUGCUUUUGUGGGGUGCUCGAGUGGCGAACGGGUGAGAAACACGUGAGUAACCUGCCCUUGACUUUGGGAUAACUUCAGGAAACUGGGGCUAAUACCGGAUAGGAGCUCCUGCUGCAUGGUGGGGGUUGGAAAGUUUCGGCGGUUGGGGAUGGACUCGCGGCUUAUCAGCUUGUUGGUGGGGUAGUGGCUUACCAAGGCUUUGACGGGUAGCCGGCCUGAGAGGGUGACCGGCCACAUUGGGACUGAGAUACGGCCCAGACUCCUACGGGAGGCAGCAGUGGGGAAUAUUGCACAAUGGGCGGAAGCCUGAUGCAGCAACGCCGCGUGCGGGAUGACGGCCUUCGUGUUGGAAACCGCUUUCGCCUGUGACGAAGCGUGAGUGACGGUAAUGUGUAAAGAAGCACCGGCUAACUACGUG
Molecule: ribosomal RNA, 468 nt
Filed under: uncultured bacterium
Lineage: Bacteria
Description: partial 16S ribosomal RNA
Rfam family: Bacterial small subunit ribosomal RNA
Source: RNAcentral